GAGAGGGUGAUCGGCCACACUGGGACUGAGACACGGCCCAGACUCCUACGGGAGGCAGCAGUAGGGAAUCUUCCACAAUGGACGAAAGUCUGAUGGAGCAACGCCGCGUGAGUGAUGAAGGUUUUCGGAUCGUAAAACUCUGUUGUAAGGGAAGAACAGAUACGAGAGGUAAUGCUCGUAUCCUGACGGUACCUUGCGAGAAAGCCACGGCUAACUACGUGCCAGCAGCCGCGGUAAUACGUAGGUGGCAAGCGUUGUCCGGAAUUAUUGGGCGUAAAGCGCGCGCAGGCGGCCUUUUAAGUCUGAUGUGAAAGCCCCCGGCUCAACCGGGGAGGGUCAUUGGAAACUGGAAGGCUUGAGUACAGAAGAGAAGAGUGGAAUUCCAUGUGUAGCGGUGAAAUGCGUAGAGAUGUGGAGGAACACCAGUGGCGAAGGCGACUCUUUGGUCUGUAACUGACGCUGAGGCGCGAAAGCGUGGGGAGCAAACAGGAUUAGAUACCCUGGUAGUCCACGCCGUAAACGAUGAGUGCUAGGUGUUGGGGGGUUUCCGCCCCUCAGUGCUGAAGCUAACGCAUUAAGCACUCCGCCUGGGGAGUACGGCCGCAAGGCUGAAACUCAAAGGAAUUGACGGG
This 632-nucleotide ribosomal RNA is filed under the name uncultured bacterium. RNAcentral describes it as "bacterial SSU rRNA". It matches the Rfam family "Bacterial small subunit ribosomal RNA", at positions 294 to 917 of the family's 1533-position model. The record is from RNAcentral.